AACGGGGGGGACAAGCGUUAUUCUUCGUAAUUGGGCGUAAAGGGUACGUAGGUGGAGGUUAAAGUUUUAUGUGAAAGACCCAGGGCUUAACUCGGGAAGCGCAUAAAAGACAAACGGAACUAGAGUACAAGAGAGGACAGUGGUACCCUUAAUUUAGAGGUGAAAUUCAGAGAGAUUAACGGGGACGAUCAAUAGGCGAAAGCGACUGUCUAGCUUGAGACUGACACUGAGGUACAAAAGCGUGGGGAGCAAACAGG
RNAcentral lists this ribosomal RNA (257 nucleotides) under uncultured bacterium. RNAcentral's name for it is "partial 16S ribosomal RNA". It matches the Rfam family "Bacterial small subunit ribosomal RNA", at positions 524 to 776 of the family's 1533-position model. The record is from RNAcentral.